Non-coding RNA from Cinara cedri, 204 nucleotides. Lineage: Eukaryota; Metazoa; Arthropoda; Insecta; Hemiptera; Aphididae. The record is from the annotation of a GenBank genome assembly.
GCGAGACGGGCGUUAGUAUUUAACAUGGUUUAACGCGCAUUACGUAUGACAAUAUUAUAAACAGGCGACUGCCGGUAUAAUGUGCCCGUCCAAAGGUCAACAUGACCACCGUUCGCCGCGUCAAGGAAAUCAAAUAUUAUUAUUAUUAUUAUUAUUGCUGUGCGCGAAUCGGAAAACGAACGGAUUAUACCGACUGCGGUGUUU